GCCAGACUCCUACGGGAGGCAGCAGUGAGGAAUAUUGGGCAAUGGAGGCAACUCUGACCCAGCCAUGCCGCGUGAGUGAAGAAGGUUUUCGGAUUGUAAAGCUCUUUCGGAUGUGACGAUGAUGACGGUAGCAUCUAAAGAAGCCCCGGCUAACUUCGUGCCAGCAGCCGCGGUAAUACGUAGGGGGCAAGCGUUAUCCGGAUUUACUGGGUGUAAAGGGAGCGUAGACGGUUACGCAAGUCUGGAGUGAAAGGCGGGGGCCCAACCCCCGGACUGCUUUGGAAACUGUAUAACUGGAGUGCAGGAGAGGUAAGUGGAAUUCCUAGUGUAGCGGUGAAAUGCGUAGAUAUUAGGAGGAACACCAGUGGCGAAGGCGGCUUACUGGACUGUAACUGACGUUGAGGCUCGAAAGCGUGGGGAGCAAACAGGAUUAGAUACCCCAGUAUA
Molecule: ribosomal RNA, 447 nt
Filed under: uncultured bacterium
Lineage: Bacteria
Description: bacterial SSU rRNA
Rfam family: Bacterial small subunit ribosomal RNA
Source: RNAcentral